UACGUAGGGACCAAGCGUUGUUCGGAUUUACUGGGCGUAAAGGGCUCGUAGGUGGCCAACUAAGUCAGACGUGAAAUCCCCAGGCUUAACCUGGGAACUGCGUCUGAUACUGGAUGGCUUGAAUUCGGGAGAGGGAUGCAGAAUUCCAGGUGUAGCGGUGAAAUGCGUAGAUAUCUGGAGGAAUACCGGUGGCGAAGGCGGCAUCCUGGACCGAGAUUGACACUGAUGAGCGAAAGCCAGGGGAGCAAACGGG
This 253-nucleotide ribosomal RNA is filed under the name uncultured bacterium. RNAcentral's name for it is "partial 16S ribosomal RNA". It matches the Rfam family "Bacterial small subunit ribosomal RNA", at positions 524 to 776 of the family's 1533-position model. The record is from RNAcentral.